Molecule: regulatory RNA element, 165 nt
Organism: Firmicutes bacterium CAG:882
Lineage: Bacteria; Bacillati; Bacillota
Source: Rfam
UAGGGGAGAAUCUUAGAUGUUCUUAGAACUCUGUAAAAUGUGCAGCUAGAGCCGACAUGGAUGUCGGCUCAGUAUGCAAGCAACCAUGGAUGGUUGCUUUGCAUCGUUAGCGGACUUUUGAAAUAUAUUAAACAGAGGUCUUAGAACAUCUUAGAUUCGUACCGU